Molecule: ribosomal RNA, 2701 nt
Filed under: Clostridioides difficile
Lineage: Bacteria; Bacillati; Bacillota; Clostridia; Peptostreptococcales; Peptostreptococcaceae
Description: partial 23S ribosomal RNA
Rfam family: Bacterial large subunit ribosomal RNA
Source: RNAcentral
GGUCAAGUUAUUAAGGGUGCAGGGCGGAUGCCUUGGCACUAGGAGCCGAUGAAGGACGUGAUAAGCUGCGAUAAGCUUCGGGGAGUUGCACGUAAACUUUGAUCCGAAGAUUUCCGAAUGAGGAAACUCACUUAGAGUAAUGUCUAAGUAUCAUUAAGUGAAUACAUAGCUUAAUGAGGGGAACUCAGGGAACUGAAACAUCUAAGUACCUGAAGGAAGAGAAAGAAAUUCGAUUCCGUAAGUAGCGGCGAGCGAACGCGGAUUAGCCCAAACCAAUAAAGUUUUCUUUAUUGGGGUUGCGGACAUAUCAUAACGAAGAGGUAUCGUAAUUGAAGAGGUUUGGAAAGACCCACCACAGAAGGUAAUAGUCCUGUAUGUUAAACGAGAAGACUUUAGAUAUGAUCCAGAGUACCACGGGACACGUGAAACCCUGUGGGAAGCAGGAGGGACCACCCUCCAAGGCUAAAUACUACCUAGUGACCGAUAGCGUAUAGUACCGUGAGGGAAAGGUGAAAAGAACCCCGGGAGGGGAGUGAAAUAGAACCUGAAACCCUGCACUUACAAGCUGUGGAAGCACAUUUCUUGUGUGACCGCGUACUUUUUGUAGAACGGGCCAACGAGUUACGUUAAGUAGCAAGGUUAAGCACUUAAGGUGCGGAGCCGUAGCGAAAGCGAGUUUUAACUGAGCGUUCAGUUACUUGACGUAGACCCGAAACCGGGCGACCUACCCAUGAGCAGGAUGAAGCGAAAGUAAAAUUUCGUGGAGGUCCGAACCCACGAGCGUUGAAAAGCUCGGGGAUGACUUGUGGGUAGCGGUGAAAUUCCAAUCGAGCCCGGAGAUAGCUGGUUCUCCCCGAAAUAGCUUUAGGGCUAGCCUCAAGGUGAGAGAUACGGAGGUAGAGCACUGAAUGUCCUAGGGGGUAUUGCACCUACCGAAGACUAUCAAACUCCGAAUGCCGUCAUCUUAUACUUGGGAGUCAGACUGUGGGUGAUAAGAUUCAUAGUCGAAAGGGCAACAGCCCAGAUCGUCAGCUAAGGUCCCUAAAUGUAAGUUAAGUGGUAAAGGAUGUGGGAUUGCACAGACAACCAGGAUGUUGGCUUAGAAGCAGCCACUCAUUCAAAGAGUGCGUAAUAGCUCACUGGUCGAGUGAUCCUGCGCCGAAGAUUUCCGGGGCUAAAACUUACUACCGAAGCUACGGCAUCAGUAAUGAUGGGUAGGGGAGCUUCCCAUACGGGUUGAAGCAUGACCGUAAGGACAUGUGGACAGUAUGGGAGUGAGAAUGUUGGCAUGAGUAGCGAGAUGUGGGUGAGAAUCCCACAGGCCGUAAACCCAAGGUUUCCAGGGGAAGGUUCGUCCGCCCUGGGUUAGUCGGGACCUAAGCUGAGGCCGAAAGGCGUAGGUGAUGGACAACAGGUUGAUAUUCCUGUACUACCGAUAACCGUUUGAGAGAAGGGAUGACACAGUAGGAUAAGCUAAGCACACUGUUGGUUAUGUGUGCCCAAGCAUUGAGGCAGUCAAAGUAGGCAAAUCCGCUUUGAUAAUGCUGGGAUGUGAUGGGGAGCGAAAUUUAGUAGCGAAGUAGCUGAUUUCACACUGUCAAGAAAAGUCUCUAUCGAGGUUAAAGGUACCCGUACCGCAAACCGACACAGGUGGGUGAGGAGAGUAUCCUAAGGCCAGCGAGAGAACUGUUGUUAAGGAACUCGGCAAAAUGACCCCGUAACUUAGGGAUAAGGGGUGCCACCAUCAGGUGGCCGCAGAGAAUAGGCCCAAGCGACUGUUUACCAAAAACAUAGGUUUCUGCUAAGUCGCAAGACGAUGUAUAGGAGCUGACGCCUGCCCGGUGCUGGAAGGUUAAGGGGAUCUGUUAGAGCAAUCGAAGCAGUGAACUUAAGCCCCAGUAAACGGCGGCCGUAACUAUAACGGUCCUAAGGUAGCGAAAUUCCUUGUCGGGUAAGUUCCGACCCGCACGAAAGGCGUAACGAUUUGGGCACUGUCUCAACAACAGACUCGGUGAAAUUGUAAUUCCGGUGAAGAUGCCGGAUACCUGCGACAGGACGGAAAGACCCCAUGGAGCUUUACUGUAGCUUGACAUUGGGUCUUGGUACUACAUGUACAGGAUAGGUGGGAGGCUUUGAAACCAGGACGCCAGUUUUGGCGGAGCCAUCCUUGGGAUACCACCCUUGUAGUACUGGGACUCUAACCAUAGGCCAUGAAUCUGGUCUUGGGACACUGUCAGGUGGGCAGUUUGACUGGGGCGGUCGCCUCCCAAAAGGUAACGGAGGCGCUCAAAGGUUCUCUCAGUACGGUCGGAAAUCGUACGUAGAGUGUAAAGGCAAAAGAGAGCUUGAUUGCAAGACAUACAGGUCGAGCAAGGAUGAAAAUCGGACUUAGUGAUCCGGUGGUUCUGCGUGGAAGGGCCAUCGCUCAACGGAUAAAAGCUACCCUGGGGAUAACAGGCUUAUCUCCCCCAAGAGUCCACAUCGACGGGGAGGUUUGGCACCUCGAUGUCGGCUCAUCACAUCCUGGGGCUGUAGUAGGUCCCAAGGGUUGGGCUGUUCGCCCAUUAAAGUGGUACGCGAGCUGGGUUCAGAACGUCGUGAGACAGUUCGGUCCCUAUCCGUCGCAGGCGUAGGAAAUUUGAGAAGACCUGUCCUUAGUACGAGAGGACCGGGAUGGACGUACCUCUGGUGUACCAGUUGU